CGGUGCUAUACAUGCAGUCGAACGCACUCUCGUUUAGAUUGAAGGAGCUUGCUCCUGAUUGAUAAACAUUUGAGUGAGUGGCGGACGGGUGAGUAACACGUGGGUAACCUGCCCUAAAGUGGGGGAUAACAUUUGGAAACAGAUGCUAAUACCGCAUAAAACCUAACACCGCAUGGUGUAGGGUUGAAAGAUGGUUUCGGCUAUCACUUUAGGAUGGACCCGCGGUGCAUUAGUUAGUUGGUGAGGUAAAGGCUCACCAAGACCGUGAUGCAUAGCCGACCUGAGAGGGUAAUCGGCCACACUGGGACUGAGACACGGCCCAGACUCCUACGGGAGGCAGCAGUAGGGAAUCUUCCACAAUGGACGAAAGUCUGAUGGAGCAACGCCGCGUGAGUGAAGAAGGUUUUCGGAUCGUAAAACUCUGUUGUUGGAGAAGAAUGUAUCUGAUAGUAACUGAUCAGGUAGUGACGGUAUCCAACCAGAAAGCCACGGCUAACUACGUGCCAGCAGCCGCGGUAAUACGUAGGUGGCAAGCGUUGUCCGGAUUUAUUGGGCGUAAAGCGAGCGCAGGCGGUUUCUUAAGUCUGAUGUGAAAGCCUUCGGCUCAACCGAAGAAGUGCAUCGGAAACUGGGAAACUUGAGUGCAGAAGAGGACAGUGGAACUCCAUGUGUAGCGGUGAAAUGCGUAGAUAUAUGGAAGAACACCAGUGGCGAAGGCGGCUGUCUGGUCUGUAACUGACGCUGAGGCUCGAAAGCAUGGGUAGCAAACAGGAUUAGAUACCCUGGUAGUCCAUGCCGUAAACGAUGAGUGCUAGGUGUUGGAGGGUUUCCGCCCUUCAGUGCCGCAGCUAACGCAUUAAGCACUCCGCCUGGGGAGUACGACCGCAAGGUU
This 892-nucleotide ribosomal RNA is filed under the name Latilactobacillus sakei. RNAcentral describes it as "bacterial SSU rRNA". It matches the Rfam family "Bacterial small subunit ribosomal RNA", at positions 43 to 895 of the family's 1533-position model. Lineage: Bacteria; Bacillati; Bacillota; Bacilli; Lactobacillales; Lactobacillaceae. The record is from RNAcentral.